RNAcentral lists this non-coding RNA (21 nucleotides) under Caenorhabditis elegans. The record is from RNAcentral. Lineage: Eukaryota; Metazoa; Nematoda; Chromadorea; Rhabditida; Rhabditidae.
UCAUUUUCUGUUUGACCUCCA